CAAAGCCCUAGUUCACACUCUCAAUCUGAUAAAAGCGAUGACCACCAACGUCUUUGUUCACACUCUCAGUCAGAUAUAUCACUCACACAAUGAGAAACUAUGGUCUGUUCGGAGGGAGAUAGAGUUAGAAAGUGGCAACUAGAUGGGCUAUGCAGAAAUAAUCAUCAAUGGCAACCAAAAUCAAAGGAACCCAUCCAUUAUUUUGUUUGUCACUUUUAUCAUAUUCGUGAAC
RNAcentral lists this long non-coding RNA (232 nucleotides) under Zostera marina. RNAcentral's name for it is "long non-coding RNA (ZMAR_LNC000627)". Lineage: Eukaryota; Viridiplantae; Streptophyta; Magnoliopsida; Alismatales; Zosteraceae. The record is from RNAcentral.